GUCCACGCCCUAAACGAUGUCAACUAGUUGUUGGUAGAGUAAAAUCUAUGAGUAACGCAGCUAACGCGUGAAGUUGACCGCCUGGGGAGUACGAUCGCAAGAUUAAAACUCAAAUGAAUUGACGGGGGCCCGCACAAGCGGUGGAUUAUGUGGAUUAAUUCGAUGCAACGCGAAAACCUUAACCUGGCCUUGACAUGUACCGAAUUUGGGAGAGAUUCCUUAGUGCUCGAAAGAGAACGGUAACACAGGUGCUGCAUGGCUGUCGU
Molecule: ribosomal RNA, 266 nt
Filed under: uncultured bacterium
Lineage: Bacteria
Description: partial 16S ribosomal RNA
Rfam family: Bacterial small subunit ribosomal RNA
Source: RNAcentral